ACAGCGACAGCGGCGGCGACUACAACAACAACUACAACAACGACGACGACGACAACAACGAGAAGGACAACGACAACACCAACGACUACAACAACAACUACUACAACGACGACGACAACGACGACGACAACGAGAAGGACAACAACACCGACGACAACAACGACGACGACAACAACAACGACGACAACAACAACGAGAAGGACAACGACAACACCAACGACUACAACAACAACUACUACAACGACAACGACGACAACAACGAGAAGGACAACAACAACACCGACGACAACAACGACGACGACAACAACAACGAGAAGGACAACAACACCGACGACAACGACUACGACAACAACGACGACGACGACAACAACGAGAAGGACAACGACAACACCGACGACAACAACAACGAGGACUACGACAACGACGACGACGACAACAACAACGAGGAGAACAACAACAACAACGACUACAACAACAACGACUACAACAACAACGACAACGACAACGAGGAGGACAACGACAACACCACCAACAACAACGACAACAAGGAGGACGACGAUGACAACAAGGACAAUGAUGACAACAGGGACGACGACUACGACUACAACGACUACUACGACCACAACGACGACGACCACAACAACAACGACAACUACUACCACGACGACGACCACCACCACCACCACCACAACCACAGAAAGUACAGUCGUCCCCGAGACUACAGUGCCCAUUGUUGUCACCCAGAGCCCGGUUCCUCUCUUGUACCCAACACUUGUCCCAUCCCUGGUCGUGGUCCCGUUGCUGCUUAUCUGCAUCUGCUGCUACAAGAGGGUCAUCAAGGAGCCACCAUCAGCCCAGAAUCCAAAAAAAGGAAAACUGGAUGUUUUUUAUCACUUUCUUCAGUGCUGCAGCCUGGUGCCAUGGAUGUGGUGUCAACCCAGGGACAUGGGGAGGUGCAUCGACUUUGCCUUAAUGAGUCCUCACUGCAUGCCAAUGCUCUAUGGCUCAGAGACCUGCCUUCAACCCAGUCAAGAGUGCCUCCCCCUCAAUAUCUGCUGCUCACGUUGUCAGCAUCCCCCACCGAUAUGCUCUCAGCCACCGUCCAGGAUGUUACCGCUGAUCCCUCCCCCAGAGGUCUACAGAAGUACUUUAUCUCUCCCGCCCCCAUAGCUCAACAUCUAAAGAACUUAAAACUGAAAAUUAGGAGCCCCUUUUGUACCAAAUUAGACAUAUAUAUAUAUAUAUAUAUAUAUAUAUAUAUAUAUAAUACAAUAUAUAUCUUGUGUUUUGGAUUACAGUCAAAAGGAGCUGGAAUUAGUUUCUGAUCAGCAGGAGAGUUUCUUGCCUGGGGAGCACUGCUCCUCUGUAUGAGACGCAACUGUACUCAUCUACCAGGACAAGGCACCCUGGUGUCCUGUGGAUGUAGACGUGAUGAGUCCCAUUCCCACAAGACAGACCUCCAUCUGUCACCAAGCGUUGAGAUGCAUGGGGUGUUAGACGAAAUAUGCUCUUUCAAGAAAGCCCCAAAUAUCUGAUAUAUGGAAAUAGUCUGGUGUCCAUUACUCACUUGCUGUUACUUAAUCUCCUGGGUGAGUUACGUAAUCUCCCUGUACUUCAGUUUCCUUACUGAAAAGAUGUGGAUAAUGGUGUCUCUUCUAAAAAGAGGGCGACAGUAACUGCUGCAACAUGCUCAGCACAAGGCCAGGUCACUUGUAAAGACUCAGGGGCCAGGUCUUUAAGGUCUUCUCUGCUUCACCAGGGAAGGAGACAGUGAUGAGCUCAGAGACAUCAGCAAGUGUGUGGUGAGUGAAAAGAUGUUAGAAAAAAUCAUCACUGGAACUUUAAGCACUGGAUACCAUGACAAAGGGUUGGCAUACAUGAGAAUUCUCUGAAAACUGUUAACCACAGGAAGUUAACAUCAAAGGCUACCACCCAUGUAAUCUCCAAGAUACCAUCAGAAAAGGUCCUUCCACCACUAUGUCCUUGACAAACAUGAGUUCCCUUCGUGUACCUUAAUUUUUCUCAUAGAGUUAAUUCCUAGUUUCCAAUUUCCUAUCAGCUCCUCUGAUUUUUCCUAUCAGCUCCCAAUUUUCCAGGUCCCUUCUGAAGAAGCCUUUGAAGACAUAAUCAGGUUUCUUUGCACACUUAUAUGCUAGAGGACUAUCAGUAGACAAAAAUUCAUUGUGAAGAUCACACAACAUGUUUAUGAAGAUGAAUCAAUACCCUGGACCAAAGAGUCCCAGAUGAGUAGAAGUGGCUACUACCUCAAAUGUGUACAUACCAGUGCGACAAACAAGGGACCAUUAAGAAUCAAGUAAACAUGAGAAGAUGAAAAGAAGUGAAUAAAAUUCCCUAAAGAAAUAGAGAUCUAUGAACUCUCUUAUAAAGAAUUCAGUCCUCUUCAAGCAGUUUAGUGAAACGCAAGAAACGUGGACAGACAACUACAUGAAAUUCAGGGGGAAGAUGCACCAACGAAAUGAGAAGCUCAACAAAGAAAACAAUCAAAAGAACGACUGAAAACGAGAGCUGAAAAAUAAAACACUGCGUUGAAGAAUAGAAUAAAGUAUUUCAGCAACAAACUCAAGCAAGCAGAAGAAAGAAUCAGUGAACUAAAAGGUAGAUCAUUGGAAAUUAUCCUGCCACAGGAGUGAAAAGAAAAAAAAUUAUUAAAAAGUGACAACACACGCUGGGACAUUAUCAGUAGAAAAAAUAGUGAAUUAUGGAAGUCCCAUAUGAGAAGAGAGAGAGAGAAAAGAAAGUAUAUUGGAAACAAAAUGGUUGAAAACUUACCAAACAUGGAAUGAGAAAUACAUCUAGAUUCACGAGGCCCAAAGAAUCCCAAAUAGCUUGAGCCUGCAAUGGUUACAGGAAAUCACAUUGUGAGUAAAUAGUCUAUGGUCAAAGACACAAGCAAUUUUUUUUUUUUCUCUCUAAUUUUAUUUUAUUUUUAAACUUUACAUAAUUGUAUUAGUUUUGCCAAAUAUCAAAAUGAAUCCGCCACAGGUAUACAUGUGUUCCCAUCCCGAACCUCCUCCCUCCUCCCUCCC
This 3047-nucleotide long non-coding RNA is filed under the name Bos grunniens (domestic yak). RNAcentral describes it as "lncRNA (ENSBGRG00000008200.1)". The record is from RNAcentral. Lineage: Eukaryota; Metazoa; Chordata; Mammalia; Artiodactyla; Bovidae.